AAUGAACGCUGGCGGCAGGCCUAACACAUGCAAGUCGAACGGAGUUAUAUUGUAGCUUGCUAUGGUAUAACUUAGUGGCAGACGGGUGAGUAAUGUAUAGGAAUCUACCUAGUAGUAUGGAAUAAUUGUUGGAAACGGCAACUAAUACCGUAUACGCCCUACGGGGGAAAAAUUUAUUGCUAUUAGAUGAGCCUAUAUUAGAUUAGCUAGUUGGUGGAGUAACAGCCUACCAAGGCAAUGAUCUAUAGCUGAUCUGAGAGGAUGAUCAGCCACACUGGAACUGAGAUACGGUCCAGACUCCUACGGGAGGCAGCAGUGGGGAAUAUUGGACAAUGGGCGAAAGCCUGAUCCAGCCAUGCCGCAUGAGUGAAGAAGGCCUUUGGGUUGUAAAGCUCUUUUAGUGAGGAAGAUAAUGACGGUACUCACAGAAGAAGUCCUGGCUAACUCCGUGCCAGCCGCCGCAGAAACAC
Molecule: ribosomal RNA, 470 nt
Filed under: uncultured bacterium
Lineage: Bacteria
Description: bacterial SSU rRNA
Rfam family: Bacterial small subunit ribosomal RNA
Source: RNAcentral